RNAcentral lists this ribosomal RNA (480 nucleotides) under uncultured bacterium. RNAcentral's name for it is "partial 16S ribosomal RNA". It matches the Rfam family "Bacterial small subunit ribosomal RNA", at positions 28 to 507 of the family's 1533-position model. The record is from RNAcentral.
GACGAACGCUGGCGGCGUGCUUAACACAUGCAAGUCGAACGAUGAAGAAAAGAAUUGAAGCUUCGGCAGAAAUUCAUUUCGGAUUAGAGGCAGACGGGUGAGUAACGCGUGAGCAACCUACCUCUUACAAAGGGAUAGCCUCGGGAAACCGGGAUUAAUACCAUAUAACAUUGCGACGAAGCAUUUCGAUGCAAUCAAAGCUACGGCGGUAAGAGAUGGGCUCGCGUCCCAUUAACCAGAUGGUGAGGUAACGGCUCACCAUAGUAACGAUGGGUAACCGGCCUGAGAGGGUGAACGGUCACACUGGAACUGAGACACGGUCCAGACUCCUACGGGAGGCAGCAGUGGGGAAUAUUGCACAAUGGAGGGAACUCUGAUGCAGCGACGCCGCGUGAGUGAUGAAGGAAUUCGUUUCGUAAAACUCUGUUCUAUGGGAAGAAAAGGACUGUACCAUAGGAGAAAGCUCCGGCUAAAUACGUG